Molecule: small nuclear RNA, 106 nt
Organism: Aethalodelphis obliquidens (Pacific white-sided dolphin)
Lineage: Eukaryota; Metazoa; Chordata; Mammalia; Artiodactyla; Delphinidae
Source: RefSeq, a predicted model, not a curated record
GUGCUCACUUUGGCAGCACAUAUACUAAAAUGGUAACAAUCAGGGAAGAUUAGCACGGCCCCUGCAUAAGGCUGACACACAAAUUCAUGAAGUGUUCUUAUACAUU